This 434-nucleotide ribosomal RNA is filed under the name uncultured archaeon. Its description in RNAcentral is "bacterial SSU rRNA". It matches the Rfam family "Archaeal small subunit ribosomal RNA", at positions 19 to 458 of the family's 1478-position model. The record is from RNAcentral.
GGACCUGACUGCUAUCGGAUUAAUACUAAGCCAUGCGAGUUUUUGUAGUAAUACAAGGCAUACGGCUCAGUAACACGUAGUCAACCUACCCUAUGGACGAGGAUAAUCUCGGGAAACUGAGCAUAAUACUCGAUAGACCAUAAUGCCUGGAAUGGUUUAUGGUUGAAAUGAUUCGUCGCCAUAGGAUGGGACUGCGGCCUAUCAGCUUGUUGGUGAGGUAAUGGCCCACCAAGGCGAUUACAGGUACGGGCUCUGAGAGGAGAAGCCCGGAGAUGGGUACUGAGACACGGACCCAGGCCCUAUGGGGCGCAGCAGGCGAGAAAACUUUGCAAUGUGCGAAAGCACGACAAGGUUAGUCCGAGUGAUUUCUGCUAAAGAGAUCUUUUGCAAGUUCUAAAACCACUAGUGAAUAAGGGGUGGGCAAGUUCUGGUGU